RNAcentral lists this ribosomal RNA (405 nucleotides) under uncultured bacterium. RNAcentral describes it as "bacterial SSU rRNA". It matches the Rfam family "Bacterial small subunit ribosomal RNA", at positions 355 to 776 of the family's 1533-position model. RNAcentral also lists the same sequence under 1 other name. The record is from RNAcentral.
UGGGGAAUCUUGUGCAAUGGGCGAAAGCCUGACACAGCCACGCCGCGUGCGGGAAGAAGGCCUUCGGGUUGUAAACCGCUUUCAGCAGGAACGAAAAUGACGGUACCUGCAGAAGAAGAUGCGGCCAACUACGUGCCAGCAGCCGCGGUGAUACGUAGGCAUCAAGCGUUGUCCGGAUUUAUUGGGCGUAAAGAGCUCGUAGGCGGUUCAGCAAGUCGGGUGUGAAAACUCUGGGCUUAACCCAGAGCCUGCACUCGAAACUGCUGUGACUAGAGUUCGGUAGGGGAGCAGGGAAUUCCUAGUGUAGCGGUGAAAUGCGCAGAUAUUAGGAGGAACACCAAUGGCGAAGGCACUGCUCUGGGCCGAUACUGACGCUGAGGAGCGAGAGCGUGGGUAGCAAACAGG